Long non-coding RNA from Triticum dicoccoides, 653 nucleotides. RefSeq lists it as uncharacterized. The transcript has 3 exons. The record is from RefSeq and is a predicted model, not a curated record. NCBI's taxonomy places the organism in Eukaryota, Viridiplantae, Streptophyta, Magnoliopsida, Poales, Poaceae.
GUUGAAUUUAUGCCACUUCAGGUGCUCCCAAUCCUUUCUCACAAAAAUAUUUCCUAAAUGGCAUUUGCCUAAAUAUCACCGUUGGAAAUUUUGUUCAUGCAUUUCCAUGGUGAUUUCUUUAGAGAACCGUGGUGAAAUUUUGUCAUAUGUAUAUAUACAGGGUUUUUCUUUUACUCUACGGUAGUUUUGGGGGCCCGCUUUUUCAGUUCGCCCGGGGCCUCUCAAAAGUCAGGGCCGGCCCUGAGCACUCUUCGCGGGUUCUCCACCGAAUCUCAAAAUCUUGUGAAGAAUAACAAGCCUGGAGCCAUGUCCGGGGCAAAUCCUGCGGCGGCUUCUCCACCAAUCAAUAAUGCACAAGCCACAUCUCCUCCACCAAUAUGGUCGCCUAGGAACAAAAUGUUCUUACCCCUUGCUGCUGGGUACGUAACGGCCUUAUUUGCAGGAAUCUCUGGAAUACUUUACUGGCGUUCCCAUGAAGAGCGGGGCCCUUUUUUCGAACCCAGGAAGAAGCAGAGUGAUUAACGAUCAGAUUUAUCAACCUUUUCGAUGCUUCGGAGAAAGCAGAAUGAUUGGACUUGUGGAUGUAUAUGGUUUAGUAGUACUUAGCUUCAUCGUCUGCUUUUUUUUAUUUCUCUGACUGUUGAACAAUGGUU